RNAcentral lists this ribosomal RNA (485 nucleotides) under uncultured bacterium. Its description in RNAcentral is "partial 16S ribosomal RNA". It matches the Rfam family "Bacterial small subunit ribosomal RNA", at positions 28 to 523 of the family's 1533-position model. The record is from RNAcentral.
GACGAACGCCGGCGGCGUGCUUAACACAUGCAAGUCGAACGGUGAAAGCGGAGCUUGCUCCGCUGGAUCAGUGGCGAACGGGUGAGUAACACGUGGGCAACCUGCCCCUCACUUCGGGAUAACUCCGGGAAACCGGGGCUAAUACCGGAUAUGACCUCCUUGGGCAUCCUUGGAGGUGGAAAGUUUUUCGGUGAGGGAUGGGCCCGCGGCCUAUCAGCUUGUUGGUGAGGUAGUGGCUCACCAAGGCGACGACGGGUAGCCGGCCUGAGAGGGCGACCGGCCACACUGGGACUGAGACACGGCCCAGACUCCUACGGGAGGCAGCAGUGGGGAAUAGUGCGCAAUGGGCGAAAGCCUGACGCAGCAACGCCGCGUGCGGGAUGACGGCCUUCGGGUUGUAAACCGCUUUCAGCAGGGAAGAAGCCGCAAGGUGACGGUACCUGCAGAAGAAGCACCGGCUAACUACGUGCCAGCAGCCGCCGCAG